GACGAACCGUGCGAACGUUAUUCGGAAUCACUGGGCUUAAAGGGCGCGUAGGCGGGCCGGCGAGUCCGGGGUGAAAGCCCCCAGCUUAACUGGGGAAGUGCCUUGGAUACUGCCGGCCUGGAGGGAGGUAGGGGCGUGCGGAACUUCCGGUGGAGCGGUGAAAUGCGUAGAUAUCGGAAGGAACACCGAUGGCGAAAGCAGCGCGCUGGACCUCUUCUGACGCUGAGGCGCGAAAGCCAGGGGAGCAAACGGG
Molecule: ribosomal RNA, 253 nt
Filed under: uncultured bacterium
Lineage: Bacteria
Description: partial 16S ribosomal RNA
Rfam family: Bacterial small subunit ribosomal RNA
Source: RNAcentral